CAGCGGGGUCCUCCAACUCAAAGUGAAUGGGUGUAUGUUCGUGAGUUCAAACAAUUCCUCCAACACUUCUAUCUCCUCACUAAUAAGGUUUCUGGCACUAAGUACGUUAUAGCCAACACCUUCUUGGAAGAUAUUGCUGAUGUACAUUUUAUGUUGGGUGAAUGGAGUGAUCAUGUGAUUUGUGGUGAUGAUGAAAUAUUUAAAUGCAUGGCUACCAAGAUGAAAACCAAGUAUGAGAAGUACUGGGGUGAUCCUGAAAAGAUGAACAAGUAUAUAUUCAUUGUUGCCAUCCUUGAUCCAAGGUAA
Molecule: ribosomal RNA, 306 nt
Filed under: Triticum aestivum (bread wheat)
Lineage: Eukaryota; Viridiplantae; Streptophyta; Magnoliopsida; Poales; Poaceae
Description: partial small subunit ribosomal RNA
Source: RNAcentral